CAGCUAGUUGGUGAGGUAACGGCUCACCAAGGCGACGAUCAGUAUCCGGCCUGAGAGGGCGGACGGACACACUGGGACUGAGACACGGCCCAGACUCCUACGGGAGGCAGCAGUGGGGAAUUGUUCGCAAUGGGCGCAAGCCUGACGACGCAACGCCGCGUGGAGGAUGAAGACCUUCGGGUCGUAAACUCCUUUCGAUCGAGACGAACGGCCUCCGGGUGAACAAUCCGGAGGAGUGACGGUACCGAGAGAAGAAGCCCCGGCUAACUCCGUGCCAGCAGCCGCGGUAAUACGGGGGGGGCAAGCGUUGUUCGGAAUUACUGGGCGUAAAGGGCUCGUAGGCGGCCAACUAAGUCAGACGUGAAAUCCCUCGGCUUAACCGGGGAACUGCAUCUGAUACUGGAUGGCUUGAGAUCGGGAGAGGGAUGCGGAAUUCCAGGUGUAGCGGUGAAAUGCGUAGAUAUCUGGAGGAACACCGGUGGCGAAGGCGGCAUCCUGGACCGACACUGACGCUGAGGAGCGAAAGCCAGGGGAGCAAACGGGAUUAGAUACCCCGGUAGUCCUGGCCCUAAACGAUGAAUGCUU
This 585-nucleotide ribosomal RNA is filed under the name uncultured Acidobacteriota bacterium. RNAcentral describes it as "SSU rRNA". It matches the Rfam family "Bacterial small subunit ribosomal RNA", at positions 242 to 818 of the family's 1533-position model. Lineage: Bacteria; Pseudomonadati; Acidobacteriota. The record is from RNAcentral.